GUGGAUUAGUUACCCUGGUAGUCCACGCCGUAAACGAUGUCAACUAGCCGUUGGGUUCCUUGAGAACUUAGUGGCGCAGCUAACGCGAUAAGUUGACCGCCUGGGGAGUACGGCCGCAAGGUUAAAACUCAAAUGAAUUGACGGGGGCCCGCACAAGCGGUGGAGCAUGUGGUUUAAUUCGAAGCAACGCGAAGAACCUUACCUGGCCUUGACAUGCUGAGAACUUUCCAGAGAUGGAUUGGUGCCUUCGGGAACUCAGACACAGGUGCUGCACGGCUGUCGUCAACU
This 288-nucleotide ribosomal RNA is filed under the name uncultured bacterium. Its description in RNAcentral is "partial 16S ribosomal RNA". It matches the Rfam family "Bacterial small subunit ribosomal RNA", at positions 773 to 1060 of the family's 1533-position model. The record is from RNAcentral.